GACGAACGCUGGCGGCGUGCUUAACACAUGCAAGUCGAGCGGUAAGGCCUUUCGGGGUACACGAGCGGCGAACGGGUGAGUAACACGGGGGUGAUCUGCCCUGCACUUCGGGAUAAGCCUGGGAAACUGGGUCUAAUACCGGAUAUGACCUCCUAUCGCAUGGUGGGUGGUGGGAAGAUUUAUCGGGGCAGGAUGGGCCCGCGGCCUAUCAGCUUGUUGGUGGGGUAAUGGCUUACCAAGGCGACGACGGGUAGCCGACCUGAGAGGGUGACCGGCCACACUGGGACUGAGGCACGGCCCAGACUCCUACGGGAGGCAGCAGUGGGGAAUAUUGCACAAUGGGCGAAAGCCUGAUGCAGCGACGCCGCGUGAGGGAUGACGGCCUUCGGGUUGUAAACCUCUUUCAGCAGGGACGAAGCGCAAGUGACGGUACCUGCAGAAGAAGCACCGGCUAACUACGUG
This 462-nucleotide ribosomal RNA is filed under the name uncultured bacterium. Its description in RNAcentral is "partial 16S ribosomal RNA". It matches the Rfam family "Bacterial small subunit ribosomal RNA", at positions 28 to 507 of the family's 1533-position model. The record is from RNAcentral.